This 280-nucleotide ribosomal RNA is filed under the name uncultured bacterium. RNAcentral describes it as "partial 16S ribosomal RNA". It matches the Rfam family "Bacterial small subunit ribosomal RNA", at positions 793 to 1035 of the family's 1533-position model. The record is from RNAcentral.
GUCCAUACUGUGACCUAUGAGUGUUAAAUGUCAAUUAAAUACGUAUGAUUUUAUACGUAAGAUUGGUGUUUAAGUUAACGCGAUAAACACUCCGCCUGGGGACUAUGGCCGCAAGGUUGAAACUCAAAGGAAUUGACUGAGAUUUGAACAUUCAGUGGUGCAUGUGGUUUAAUACGACAUAAAUCGAUAAAUCUUACCAAUUUUUGUAUGUAGACUGUGCUAUUUAAUGGUUUGUAUUAAUAGUAUUUUAAAUUAUUAUAAUUGAAUUUAUAUAUUUAUU